UUGAGACCUUAUGCUGCACCCAUUGAAAUCAAAGGCCCAAGCCAUUGACUUCAAUGGGAGCAGAAUUG
RNAcentral lists this microRNA precursor (68 nucleotides) under Pelodiscus sinensis (Chinese soft-shelled turtle). RNAcentral describes it as "miRNA (ENSPSIG00000019505.1)". Lineage: Eukaryota; Metazoa; Chordata; Testudines; Trionychidae. The record is from RNAcentral.